RNAcentral lists this ribosomal RNA (379 nucleotides) under uncultured eukaryote. RNAcentral's name for it is "partial 18S ribosomal RNA". It matches the Rfam family "Eukaryotic small subunit ribosomal RNA", at positions 592 to 976 of the family's 1831-position model. The record is from RNAcentral.
CAAUAGCGUGUAUUAAUGUUGUUGCAGUUAAAAAGCUCGUAGUUGGAUUUCGGGGCGAAAAGGUGGGUCUGCCCUUUGGGUUUGUACUAGCCAGUUCGCCCUUUUGUCUGAGGACGGCAUUUGCUCUUCACUGAGUGAGUGUUUGACUCAGGCCAUUUACUUUGAGAAAAUUAGAGUGUUCAAAGCAGGCCAUUGCCUUGAAUACAUUAGCAUGGAAUAAUGAAAUAGGACUUCUGACCUAUUUUGUUGGUUUCUAGGACGGAAGUAAUGAUUAAUAGGGAUAGUUGGGGGCAUUAGUAUUUAAUUGUCAGAGGUGAAAUUCUUGGAUUUAUGAAAGACUAACUUCUGCGAAAGCAUUUGCCAAGGAUGUUUUCAUUAA